AAUUGAUAGUUAAGUGUCCAUUUGGGAAGUGCGCUCUAAGACGAGCUUGUGCAUCUUUGAACGCAUAUUUAGUGUUUCUCUAAGACUUUUUUAAAAACAUGGUCAGCUUAACAUAGCUUACUUCUUGUGUGAUAAAUUGUUAAAUUAUUAAAUAGUUUUCAUAGUACAUGCUUGUAAUUAAUAAUUUAUUUAUUUUUCUUGCAGAUGGCCAUCUGUACUACCUAAGACAUAGAGGACAGCCUAAUUGUCAUAAGGCCAAGGUGCUCCGUGGAAAAGAGGAGGCCAAUGUAGUCUUUGUAGACUUUCAUGCCAGCAGCACUGGUGCACACUGUGGCCAGAAAAAGUCAACAGAGGCCAUCUCAAAAAGAUUUUACUGGCCUGGCUUGUCAGACGACAUUAAACAGUGGGUGAACCAGUGUACUGCAUGCCAGGCCAGCAGAGUCGUCAUUAAGCAGGAGGUGGAGUACACACCAAUAAAAGUUUCAAAACCAUUUGAGCUUAUUGGAAUGGAUCAGUAUAUUUGCGUCAUGGUUGAUUACCUGACAAAGUGGCC
This is a long non-coding RNA of Cyprinodon tularosa, 553 nucleotides long. RefSeq lists it as uncharacterized. The record is from RefSeq and is a predicted model, not a curated record. NCBI's taxonomy places the organism in Eukaryota, Metazoa, Chordata, Actinopteri, Cyprinodontiformes, Cyprinodontidae. The transcript is spliced from 3 exons.